This 796-nucleotide small RNA is filed under the name Histoplasma capsulatum var. duboisii H88. RNAcentral's name for it is "Histoplasma capsulatum H88 hypothetical RNA". Lineage: Eukaryota; Fungi; Ascomycota; Eurotiomycetes; Onygenales; Ajellomycetaceae. The record is from RNAcentral.
UACAGUACAACGUCCAGAAAUCAAGGGAUGUCAUCCUUGCCAACCUCUUCCAGAAUCCUGGAAUCCUUGAAUACGACAUCCUGGCCAUCCAGGAGCCCUGGUGAAACCCCUUCAUUGAAACAUCAUACCACCCUCUCAAGGCAUACUUCCAGCUAAUGUAUCUGGCCAAUGCUGCAACAAGAGUGUGCCUGUAUAUCAACAAGAAAAUCAACCCAAGUACUUGAAGUGUCUCUUUCAUUUCCAAGGACAUCAUCUCUCUACAGAUCAUCAGCCCUUAGUUGGGCAAUAAGAUCUCAGUUUUCAACAUCUAUAACAAACCAGAAAGAAAUACAUUUCUUGCACUAGAAGAGAUGAUUGAAGCAUUGAACUCACAACAGAAGAUCAUUGUGCUUGAGGAUUUCAACCUGCACCACCCACUCUGAUCAACAACACAUCAGUGAGCAAAUGUCAGACUCAAUAUACAAGAACUUCUCACAGUUAUUGAGAAGUUCCAGCUGCAACUCCUUAUAAAACCCAGAACUCCAACCCACCACUGAAGCAGUGAAGUAUCCACAAUUGAUCUAAUAUUCACUUCAGAGAAUCUGGCAAGCCAACUGAUUCAGUGCAAGAUUGACAAGAAGAUAGACUGCAACUCAGAUCAUCUGUUGAUUGAUAUAGUAUUCAACUGAAACUGGCAAUCAAUAAACUCAAUAAAGAAACAUCUAUGAACAAAAAUGAAUUUAGAGAUAUUGCAGAAAAUCAUUCAAACAAGUCUAUUCUGAUCAAACAUCAUUUCAGAACUUAAGAAUAAGAACUG